This is a long non-coding RNA of Trachemys scripta elegans, 895 nucleotides long. RefSeq lists it as uncharacterized. NCBI's taxonomy places the organism in Eukaryota, Metazoa, Chordata, Testudines, Emydidae. The record is from RefSeq and is a predicted model, not a curated record. The transcript has 4 exons.
CCGGAGCGAGCGGAUUGGAAGGGACCAGGGCGGUCUCGCCACCCUAGAUCAGAGCACCCGCGGCAGCCGAGGGAGCGCCAGGCAGCAGAGCCCAGCACGGUGCCUGGCUGGACCGGCCUCCGGCGUGGGGGCUGUUUGCAAUCGCCACGGAGCAGGUGCUGGGGAGCCUGCCAGCGCCCCGCUCCCCUCAGGCCCAGAGAAGGGCUGAUUAGUAAGGGAGUGACUGGUCAUCAAGGGAGGUACCUCUAAAAUAAGCUCCACAGAGCGCUAUGGCAAGAUGAAGCAGAACGGUAGAAGACAGAUUUAUCAAAAAAAUGUUUCAGCUGGGAAAAGUCAAGUCUGUUGGGAAAGUUGUUGAAAGACAAGAGGGCUGUUGAACAUGGAGGGGUGAAGACAGUGGAAUGCUGUGAAAAUCUUAGAGACUUAAAUAUUCAGGAUUUAUACAUCCUUCCAAAUCCGUGCUGCUCCUGGUCCAGCUCUUUGCACCGUCUCUGAUUUUGAGGGACAUGGAGGUAAAGUUUGAAAUAGCAAUGACACACAUUGUUAGCAGGUGAACAUGGUUUUUAGUCUCAUGUUCUUACAAUGCCUUAUUUUCUACUUAAACACAUUCCAAGAGACUGUUUCACAAAUGAAAAGUUUAUCUUCUAUCUAACUGAGACAUUUGUCUGGGUGCAGAGGGUAGUUUAAAACUAUUUUGACAGUGGGAAAGAAUUGAAAUCAGGGGUUUUGCAUCCAGGAAGACAUAGGAUGUUAUUAACUUAAAUGAUUACUUUGGUCACAGGAUUUUGCUGUAUUGCACUAGCUAAAGUCGACAUUCUGUAACAAUGGUUAAUUCUGGAAACAGUAAGAUUACAACUAAUUUUAAAAGAAAAAUAAUACCAAAACUUACAAUUCC